RNAcentral lists this non-coding RNA (21 nucleotides) under Caenorhabditis elegans. Lineage: Eukaryota; Metazoa; Nematoda; Chromadorea; Rhabditida; Rhabditidae. The record is from RNAcentral.
CGAAUGCACGCCGAGAAGGAU